This 1496-nucleotide long non-coding RNA is filed under the name Daphnia pulex (common water flea). RNAcentral describes it as "uncharacterized LOC124200278, transcript variant X2". Lineage: Eukaryota; Metazoa; Arthropoda; Branchiopoda; Diplostraca; Daphniidae. The record is from RNAcentral.
UCCCUGAGAGAUUUUUAAAAUUCUUAUUUUAAAAAGCCGAAGGCUUACCGCCUUUUAAGGGUGAGAGAUUUGAAGAAACAAAAGUUCCGACAGCGCUCCAAAUAGUCUUAACUGUGAGAGGUCCCUGGGGAAUUGGGGCAAUUCGUGAUUGGUCGAAGUGGUUUUCGGGACCGUGACACGUUCGUGCUGCUCCGAUCGCGACGCGACUAAUCCCAUUCGAUGUAGAAUGACUUUUAACACAGGUAAUGACUAAAUUUUUUAAGUAUUAACGAAAUUAACGAGAGAUUGGGAGCAAAAAGGGGAAAAAAAGGGGAAACUUCUAAAAUAUAGGAAAAAAAUGUCUUCUAAAAUUAGAGGAUGCAACCACCUCUAAUUGAAAGAUGAACCUAUCAUUUAACGGAAAAGACUAAAUUUGCAUUACGUUAUUUGUGGUUCGCGAGAUAUUUGACCAAGAAAAAGACACACAGAUUGACUUUUAGUUGAUUGUGUGCUGACUAGCAGACGACGUUAAUUUGCAACAGCCAGUCUGCUUGUGGAAUGUGGCAUGGCCUACUGUGGGUAUUUUAAUUUGAUCGUUUGAAUGUUUGUGAUUGAUUUCAUCUUGUGAAGCACUAUGUUUAUAUUUCAAAUUUUAACUAUUGCAGCAUUAUAAUAAGGAAAGAAAAACAUACCUCUUGUGUCACAACUGAUGGUUCCUUUACCUAUCAAAUCUGUACCACAUUGACAGAUGGUUCACAUGUAGGUGCUGAAUCAACUGGAAAACGUUCAAAAAAAGGGAAUUGAGAAUUACAUUUAUCAUCAGACAUACCUCCAUUUCAGAAAAUUUUAUCGUUAAGAUGACAAGUUGGGAAUUGAUUUACUGUUUACAUGUCACCUUAAGUGAUAUCAUUGCAUACCAGACUUUAUUCGGAUGCAAAACAAAUUUCCCUCAUUUAAAAGGCAUGCAUGAUUUAAUGGUUGAAAUUUUGUAACGAAGAAAAAAGAAAGCUGCAGCUGUGGAAAAUAGAAUUGACAGAUUACAUUCAUCAUCAGACGCAUUUCAGUUUCAGAAAGUUUUGUCUUGAAGAUGGCAAAAGUUGCCAGUCGAUUUACAUGUCACCUUAAGUGAUGUCAUAGCAGGAGCUUGUCAUUUAGAAUUUAGAUAGCAUACUUCUAUUUCAGAAAGUUGCCAGAAAAGUUGCCAGUCAAUUUACAUAAUACCCUAAGUGAUAUCAUAACAGGAGCUUGUCAUUUAGAUAGUACUCUAAAGCAAGAGCCUUGACAAGCAAAAUUGUAUUUCAUUCUGGCCCAACAAAUAGUGGGAAAACAUAUCAUGUUCAUGAAUGGUUUUUUAAUUCAAAUAAGAAGUUUAUUGUAAUCCUUUAAUUUCUUUAUUAAAAAUCAGAAGUUUAUUGUGGUCCCUUAAAACUUUUGACAUCUAAGUAAUAAAAUUAAGGAAAUGAGUGCGGUGUCCAAUGUGAUUUACUAUUUGGAGAAUAAAGACAUUUUCAUGCUAA